UGGUCUGGAAAGAACCAACAGCAGAAUGCUAAUUCAGCUCUUCGUCAGGUGAAAACAUGGGCAGAAUUGUUGAAUACCUUCUGUAGCACAGGGAAACUUGAGCUGGAACUGAUCUACAAAGUUCAGAUGCAAUGUUAUGAGGAUGCUAAGCUGAUGAAACUUUUCCCCGAAAUUGUAAGGUCUCUGUAUGACCAGGAUGUGCUCGCUGAGGACACCAUACUCCAUUGGUUUCGUAAAGGGACAAACCCUAAGGGCAGGCAGAGCUUUGUGAAGGCACUGGAACCUUUUGUGAAUUGGCUGGAGGAGGCAGAAGAAGAGGAAUGAAUAGGGGGGUGGGAAGUGAUUGAUGGUAUCGUGUUGCAAUUCCUGAAGUACAUUCUAAAACCAUCAAUUUUCUGAGAUCCAACUCUUAAUUUUCUUGCCUUCCAAGUUCCAAGUUUGGUGUGUGUGCUCAUGUACCAAUAAUGAUGAAUGAUUUACUGGCAAUAAAUGCUCAAUGUAACGUUAAUACUCUGUGGCUGUGGUUAUGCAAUCUUACUACUAUCUGUUUGAGGUAAUAUUUUUGUUAUUCCUCUUGAUAAAA
Molecule: unclassified non-coding RNA, 583 nt
Filed under: Hevea brasiliensis (rubber tree)
Lineage: Eukaryota; Viridiplantae; Streptophyta; Magnoliopsida; Malpighiales; Euphorbiaceae
Source: RNAcentral